ACAGAUGACAAGAUGCAGUAAAC
RNAcentral lists this non-coding RNA (23 nucleotides) under Arabidopsis thaliana (thale cress). The record is from RNAcentral. Lineage: Eukaryota; Viridiplantae; Streptophyta; Magnoliopsida; Brassicales; Brassicaceae.